UGGGGAAUUUUGGACAAUGGGCGAAAGCCUGAUCCAGCAAUGCCGCGUGUGUGAAGAAGGCCUUCGGGUUGUAAAGCACUUUUGUCCGGAAAGAAAUCCUUGGCUCUAAUACAGUCGGGGGAUGACGGUACCGGAAGAAUAAGCACCGGCUAACUACGUGCCAGCAGCCGCGGUAAUACGUAGGGUGCAAGCGUUAAUCGGAAUUACUGGGCGUAAAGCGUGCGCAGGCGGUUUGCUAAGACCGAUGUGAAAUCCCCGGGCUCAACCUGGGAACUGUAUUGGUGACUGGCAGGCUAGAGUAUGGCAGAGGGGGGUAGAAUUCCACGUGUAGCAGUGAAAUGCGUAGAGAUGUGGAGGAAUACCGAUGGCGAAGGCAGCCCCCUGGGCCAAUACUGACGCUCAUGCACGAAAGCGUGGGGAGCAAACAGGAUUAGAUACCCUGGUAGUCCACGCCCUAAACUAUGUCAACUAGUUGUUGGGGAUUCAUUCCUUAGUAACGUAGCUAACGCGUGAAGUUGACCGCCUGGGGAGUACGGUCGCAAGAUUAAAACUCAAAGGAAUUGACGGGGUCAUAGCUGUUUCCU
RNAcentral lists this ribosomal RNA (584 nucleotides) under uncultured bacterium. RNAcentral's name for it is "partial 16S ribosomal RNA". It matches the Rfam family "Bacterial small subunit ribosomal RNA", at positions 355 to 1375 of the family's 1533-position model. The record is from RNAcentral.